AUUGAACGCUGGCGGCAUGCCUUACACAUGCAAGUCGAACGGUAACAGGUCUUCGGAUGCUGACGAGUGGCGAACGGGUGAGUAAUACAUCGGAACGUGCCCGAUCGUGGGGGAUAACGCAGCGAAAGCUGUGCUAAUACCGCAUACGAUCUACGGAUGAAAGCGGGGGACUCGCAAGAGCCUCGCGCGGACGGAGCGGCCGAUGGCAGAUUAGGUAGUUGGUGGGUAAAAGCUUACCAAGCCGACGAUCUGUAGCUGGUCUGAGAGGACGACCAGCCACACUGGGACUGAGACACGGCCCAGACUCCUACGGGAGGCAGCAGUGGGGAAUUUUGGACAAUGGGCGCAAGCCUGAUCCAGCCAUGCCGCGUGCAGGAUGAAGG
RNAcentral lists this ribosomal RNA (383 nucleotides) under uncultured bacterium. Its description in RNAcentral is "bacterial SSU rRNA". It matches the Rfam family "Bacterial small subunit ribosomal RNA", at positions 29 to 414 of the family's 1533-position model. The record is from RNAcentral.